AGAGGGCUUAGACCCUCGCCGAACUGCUCAGUAACACGUAGCUAAUCUACUCUUAGGUGGGGGAUAAACUCGCGAAAGUGAGGCUAAUACCCCAUAGCUGUUUUUGGCUGGAAUGCUUUAACAGUAAAAGUUCCGACGCCUAAGAAUGGGGCUGCGACGUAUCAGGCUGUUGUGAGUUUAAAAUACUCACAAACCUAUAACGCGUAGAGGCCAUGAGAGUGGGAGCCUCGAGAUGCCUUCUGAGACAUGAAGGCAGGUCCUACGGGACGCAGCAGGCGCGAAAACUUUCCAAUUCAUUAACGUGUGAGAAGGGAAGUCUGAGUGCUUAUGCUAUGCAUAAGCUUUUAUUUAGYCUAAAAAGCUAGARGAAUAAGUGGUGGGUAAGACAGGUGCCAGCCGCCGCGGUAAUACCUGCGCCACAAAUGGUGAUCACGAUUAUUGGGUCUAARGCGUCCGUAGCCGGUUUAGCAAGUUCCUGGUGAAAUCUGGCAGCAAACUGUCAGGCAUGCUGGRAAUACUACUAAACUUGAGAUUGGGAGAGGUUGGAAGUAUUCCAUGRGUAGGGGUUAAAUCCUUUAAUYCAUGGAGGACUACCGGUGGCGAAGGCGUCCAACUAGAACAAGUCUGACGGUGAGGGACGAAAGCGUGGGGAGCAAAUCUAANCC
This 665-nucleotide ribosomal RNA is filed under the name uncultured archaeon. RNAcentral's name for it is "bacterial SSU rRNA". It matches the Rfam family "Archaeal small subunit ribosomal RNA", at positions 61 to 731 of the family's 1478-position model. The record is from RNAcentral.